GCUGCUGUGGUUCAGUGGUAGAAUCCUUGCCUGCUAUGCAGGAGACCUAGGUUUGAUUCCCAGAUGCA
Molecule: non-coding RNA, 68 nt
Organism: Alligator sinensis (Chinese alligator)
Lineage: Eukaryota; Metazoa; Chordata; Crocodylia; Alligatoridae
Source: Rfam